This 2200-nucleotide long non-coding RNA is filed under the name Canis lupus familiaris (dog). RNAcentral describes it as "lncRNA (ENSCAFG00000056413.1)". Lineage: Eukaryota; Metazoa; Chordata; Mammalia; Carnivora; Canidae. The record is from RNAcentral.
UUUUUUUUUUUUUUUUUUUAAUAUAUGGUUAGACUUUUUAGCUCUACUACUGUUCAUUAUGUGGUUACUAGUUAUUGUCAAAUGGUUUCAAUAUUCAACAUUCUUAAAAACUGUGUCUAUAAGACAUAUCAGGCUUGUCUAGAUUUUGUUUUAUUUGUUCUAUACACAUUUAUUAAAGACAACUCAUGCCAAUACAUAUUCCUAGAGAGCCAUACAUUUCAGUCAUUGAUGAUUGGGGCAGACUUUGGUUUGUGUCCAUGUUCUACAAAUAAAACUGAAUAUUUACAUGUGGAAAACAAAAAUUCCAAUUAUUUUUGAGAUAGUGUUUAUAUUUACAAGGUAAACAUAUACAACUGAGAAGAGUGACUGAAUGAUAUGGAAGAAGACUGAAGAGCCAUUGUGUGGUAAAACUAUUGGAUUUGAUGUCUGCAUAGAAAUAAGAAGGAGAUAAAUAGAAAAAAAAAUGGAGGUGUUGAAUAUGUGCAUCUGGCAAAAGAAGGCAGUCAAAAAAAAAUGCCACAGGAGAGGAGAAGGUCAUGGGGAAGGAUUAACAGAGAAGAUGCUAAACUGGUUUUGGGGUCAGAUCUGCGGCAGCCUUUUAGAGAAAUCUGGGUUUAGGGAUUAGAUUGUAGGAAUUCUUGCAUAUAGAAUCUUCCAAGGAAGCAGAAAGAGUGAGAAGCCCCAGAGACUUGAAAGGAUACUUGAAUCCACACCAGGAUGCUCUUAAAGAAAACUGAGGAGGAAUGGCGGGACAGAUAAACUAGGAUACGAGAAGUGAGAAUUUACAGAGAUUUUCAAAGAAAAUUGAGUAGUUAAUAUAUUCUGAGCUCAAUGAAUUAACACUCAAUUUAGAAUAAAACCGACCUUGAUAAUCGAUUCUCUAGGGUGGUCCAAUAAUAUCACAAAAUUAAUGCUAGAGGGAGGUUAAAUAGAAUGUAGGUUAAAACCAAAACAGAACAGGCUACCAAACUGAGUGUCGAAGUCAGAUCUGAAUAGGAUGGAACUCACAGAGAAGUUGAAAAAAGUCCAAGGCUGCACAUAGAGCCUCUUCCUUUAGAGGCUGAAGUACAAGGGAACCAAAAGGCCCAAAGCUCUGGAGGGUGGGGAGGUCUGAGCGUUGGGCAAAAUCGUAAGACAUUUCCUAAUGAAAUUGCACUUUCAUACAACCCCUUUCCUUAAGAUCUCGGGUUUUCUCCUGCCAAUAGAAUAUGGCGGGUGACAUCACUCUGGAAUUAUGUAAUGGUAUAUGACCCCCUGGUAGCUGACUGGAGAGGGACAUUCUCUUGCUGGCUUGAAAGAAGGAAGCGGUUAUGUUGGGUGGAGGCCCAUGGAAGCCCAUGUGCAGGGGAAGUAACAGACUGCUGCAGCCUCUAGGACCAGAAGGCAAUCUUUAGCUGACAUCAGCUAAAAAGCAGUGGCCUCCGUCCUCCAACUUUAAGAAACUAAAUGCUGCCAACAUCCAUGUGCCCUUCACAAAGGAUGUAGAGUUUGAGAAAGAAACAAUGUCCCAUGACACUUUCACUGCCGCCUUGUGAUUGCUCAGCAGAGGAACCAACCAAGCUAUAUCUGGGCUCCUGACCCAUGGAAAUUGUGACAUAAUGAAUGUCUCAUAUUUUAAGCCACUACAUUUGUGAUACAUUUUCAUAGAACUGUAUAAAAAUAGCCCAGUCUGGAAAGGAAUCUUGCAGGCAAUUUUCUUCUUUCUUUCUUUUUUUUUUUUUUUUUUUUUUUUCCGCCUUGGGUAAAGCAGAGCUAAGUGACUCAACAAGAAAAUGCAUCUGAGCCUGGAUUCAAAGUCCUAGCUCUGACAAGUUUUAGUGUGGUGAGCAUUACUUAAGUUCUCUGUAUUUCAAUGACUUUAUCAGUCAAAGAAGGUAUCAGCUAUCUCGUACAACUACUGUGAAAGGCAAGUGAGUUAAUUCAGGUUAAAUGCUUGAUACAUAGUAAGGAUGCAAAAAAAAAUGUUAGUUAUGCUUAUAAAUGUUUGGUUUGGGAGUGGUUUUUGUUUUGUUUUUCUUUAAGGAGAAAUAAUUGAGCUAAUUUGGAGAAUGAGGAGGAGCACAUGAAAACUAAUGAUUUGUGAGAAAGAAAUCAUGAAGGAAUAUAACCCUGAAAGAAAUGUGAUCCAGAGAACAUGCAAAGUAAAAAAUGAGGUAAAUAAACGUAAGUAUAAAAAAAAACAAAAACAGAAACAAAAAAA